Molecule: non-coding RNA, 135 nt
Organism: Triticum urartu
Lineage: Eukaryota; Viridiplantae; Streptophyta; Magnoliopsida; Poales; Poaceae
Source: Rfam
UUUGUACUCCCUCCGUCCCAAAAUUCUUGUCUUAAAUUUGUCUAAAUACGGAUGUAUCUAGUUACAUUUUAGUGUUAGAUACAUCUGUAUCUAAACAAAUGUAAGACAAGAAUUUUGGUACGGAGGGAAUACUAC